UGUGGAAAAAAAAACGUUAAGUCCGAAAUGCAACCAGUCUCACAUUUCUUUAUUCGAAACUAAAAGAGGCAGAUGAGAAUUGCACUCGAGCGAACAUUUUAAAGUUUGCAACACUGUCCUAAACGGCUGUUUCGUAUUGUUGUAGGAGUAGUCAAGUGUACAGCUCAACCAAGCAAGUGUGUACCUUUCACCACGGGAAGAUGGAAAUGCCUAACGAUCUUAGCGGACUUUUCUAGCGAAACAGUGUACGAGAGUGCACGACAGUUUUUUCGUCGAAAAUCUAACGGUAUUUCUUUCUCUGAAUAUUUUUUAAAUCGACAAUAGGUCGUAAUAACUGUGGCAGUAUUUUUGCUUUCUGAUUUGUAAGAAUCAACGCGUGCUGUGUAUCUGAAAGCAUAGCAUACAGCUUUGCUUAGUGAGGAAAUCAAAUUUUUCCAGCAGUGUUCCACAUGCUGUUUAUUAAUGACAAUUUUUUUUUUACGUACGGAUUAUAUCGUUAAUUGUAACAAGCGUGUUGAUAAACUUUGAAUUUAAUUUAUAUACAAGAAGAGUAAUAUGCAUCCUUUAGCCAAAAGCCGUUUAAGGAAGAUUUAUAUGAAAACAUGGUUAACCGGAUAUUUGUCAAAUUACAAUUGUUUUUGCCAACUUUAACUGCAAAAUUGAGGUAGAACAAACACUUGUCCCUGAUCCUUUUUUAAGAGAUUUUCAAUCCCUAUUGAUACUUUUCAUUGCUUUUUAUUCGUGUAUUCAAUUUAUCUUAAAAUUUUGUGUUGUCUUUUUCCACUCUUUGUUGUUCAAUUGCUUCUACUGCUGGCAGCUUGAACCCAAAUCAUUUGAUUUCGAUAAAUAAUAUUAAUUAUUUUGAAUUGAAACACUACAUAAAUCUAUAUUCUAUUGUACGUUUCACAUCAAAGUGAUAAACGACGGCAAAAAUUACUUGUAUCUAAUUAGACGUUUAUUACCUAUAAAUCCCAAUUGAAUCAAAUAAAAUAAAUAUUGUCAGAGGGAAAUGUCUUCCCCUAAAGCGAUGGGGACCGCACCCUCAUCCGCGGGGCAUGAACGGGCAUUUUUCAACCACUAAGUUGACUGCCCCACUUUGAAACUUUCCGGUUUGGAAAUUAGAUCAGCAUUUGUUAAACAAUUCAAAUGGAAGCUGAAUUGUUAUCCAUGCACAAGGAAAAUUAAAAAAGAAACACGCCGUAUAACAACCAGUUGUUUGUCGCUGACUCUUCACGCAAUAUUUCAACAAUCAAUUUUCCUUCGUUGCUCUGCUCGCAAACAGCGAAACAAACCAAAAACCAAAAUAAUUUGGGAUUUUUGAACUUUCUUUAUCCAGGAUUUACUACAGUCAGGACAGAAAAUUUCUUUGAACAAGUAAAGUAUAGUCUAAUGGAACACAUUUAAAGGAAACUUUGGAAUAGUUAAUUCUUAUAAUAACACAUCGAACAUGCGUUACUGGUAAACAACUAAUAUUCACUCGAGUAUCAAGGACCUAAAUCCAAAAGGAAACACACCAAGCAUAGAUGUUCAGGAGAGAGAAACCUGCUCCGUGCUGAACGCGAGAAUAUUGGGAACCAAACUGAACCUCAUUUCACCAGGUUAUGGCAGCUUAGACGCCAGGGAAAGGAGGCCGACCCUUACGAACCGCUAUCAACCACUGGAAAGGACGAAAGGACGAUUUUUUUCUUCUUCUUCUUCUUUUUCUUUUUCUUGUCAUUAAUUCGAUUUCUUCGCUUUGCUCUUUCCAGUACAUUUACUUUGGAGAAAGCAGUAUGAAAAGAAAGGAAACGUUUCUCACUGUUCUACUAUUCGUGCUCAUCAGGAAUCAACCUCAAUAUCCAUCAUUCGUUAAAGAAUCACUAAGCCUUUGGCUGUAAAGGUAGGUCGGCUUAGAUGCGAGAUUGAUGGAAGCACGAAAUAUUACCGUUGCUAUUACAACAUCCAUACAGAAGUCUAAAAUAUCAAACGAAACAAUCUGAAUUUAUCCGCCAAAGACGUCUUCUAAACUUCACUUUCAUCUUUAACGUUUUGGGUCGACAGGCCAUAUUUAAAAAAUCUCGUGAAUAUUCACUUGCAAUCCGUUGAUGGACUCACCUGAAACUUCUCUAGGACGUCAUUUGGAGUGAAAUACAUUCCAAAACAUAACUAUUGGAUUUAAAAAUAAACUUAAUACAGGACAAAUAAAA
Daphnia magna is the source of this 2186-nucleotide long non-coding RNA. RefSeq lists it as uncharacterized. NCBI's taxonomy places the organism in Eukaryota, Metazoa, Arthropoda, Branchiopoda, Diplostraca, Daphniidae. The transcript is spliced from 4 exons. The record is from RefSeq and is a predicted model, not a curated record.